CCUACGGGCGGCAGCAGUGGGGAAUAUUGCACAAUGGGGGAAACCCUGAUGCAGCGACGCCGCGUGAGUGAAGAAGUAAUUCGGUAUGUAAAGCUCUAUCAGCAGGGAAGAAAAUGACGGUACCUGAGUAAGAAGCCCCGGCUAACUACGUGCCAGCAGCCGCGGUAAUACGUAGGGGGCAAGCGUUAUCCGGAUUUACUGGGUGUAAAGGGAGCGUAGACGGCAGUGUAAGUCAGGAGUGAAAGGCGGAGGCUCAACCCCCGGACUGCUAUGGAAACUGUACGGCUGGAGUGCAGGAGAGGUAAGUGGAAUUCGUAGUGUAGCGGUGAAAUGCGUAGAUAUUACGAGGAACACCAGUGGCGAAGGCGGCUUACUGGACUGUAACUGACGUUGAGGCUCGAAAGCGUGGGGAGCAAACAGGAUUAGAUACCCCUGUAGUC
This 440-nucleotide ribosomal RNA is filed under the name uncultured bacterium. RNAcentral's name for it is "partial 16S ribosomal RNA". It matches the Rfam family "Bacterial small subunit ribosomal RNA", at positions 338 to 795 of the family's 1533-position model. The record is from RNAcentral.